UCAUGGUUAAGUGGGAAACGAUGUGGGAAGGCCCAGACAGCCAGGAUGUUGGCUUAGAAGCAGCCAUCAUUUAAAGAAAGCGUAAUAGCUCACUGGUCGAGUCGGCCUGCGCGGAAGAUGUAACGGGGCUAAACCAUGCACCGAAGCUGCGGCAGCGACACUGUGUGUUGUUGGGUAGGGGAGCGUUCUGUAAGCCUGUGAAGGUGUCUGUGAGGAUGCUGGAGGUAUCAGAAGUGCGAAUGCUGACAUAAGUAACGAUAAAGCGGGUGAAAAGCCCGCUCGCCGGAAGACCAAGGGUUCCUGUCCAACGUUAAUCGGGGCAGGGUGAGUCGACCCCUAAGGCGAGGCCGAAAGGCGUAGUCGAUGGGAAACAGGUUAAUAUUCCUGUACUUGGUGUUACUGCGAAGGGGGGACGGAGAAGGCUAUGUUGGCCGGGCGACGGUUGUCCCGGUUUAAGCGUGUAGGCUGGUUUUCCAGGCAAAUCCGGAAAAUCAAGGCUGAGGCGUGAUGACGAGGCACUACGGUGCUGAAGCAACAAAUGCCCUGCUUCCAGGAAAAGCCUCUAAGCAUCAGGUAACAUCAAAUCGUACCCCAAACCGACACAGGUGGUCAGGUAGAGAAUACCAAGGCGCUUGAGAGAACUCGGGUGAAGGAACUAGGCAAAAUGGUGCCGUAACUUCGGGAGAAGGCACGCUGAUAUGUAGGUGAAGUCCCUCGCGGAUGGAGCUGAAAUCAGUCGAAGAUACCAGCUGGCUGCAACUGUUUAUUAAAAACACAGCACUGUGCAAACACGAAAGUGGACGUAUACGGUGUGACGCCUGCCCGGUGCCGGAAGGUUAAUUGAUGGGGUCAGCGCAAGCGAAGCUCUUGAUCGAAGCCCCGGUAAACGGCGGCCGUAACUAUAACGGUCCUAAGGUAGCGAAAUUCCUUGUCGGGUAAGUUCCGACCUGCACGAAUGGCGUAAUGAUGGCCAGGCUGUCUCCACCCGAGACUCAGUGAAAUUGAACUCGCUGUGAAGAUGCAGUGUACCCGCGGCAAGACGGAAAGACCCCGUGAACCUUUACUAUAGCUUGACACUGAACAUUGAGCCUUGAUGUGUAGGAUAGGUGGGAGGCUUUGAAGUGUGGACGCCAGUCUGCAUGGAGCCGACCUUGAAAUACCACCCUUUAAUGUUUGAUGUUCUAACGUGGACCCGUGAUCCGGGUUGCGGACAGUGUCUGGUGGGUAGUUUGACUGGGGCGGUCUCCUCCUAAAGAGUAACGGAGGAGCACGAAGGUUGGCUAAUCCUGGUCGGACAUCAGGAGGUUAGUGCAAUGGCAUAAGCCAGCUUGACUGCGAGCGUGACGGCGCGAGCAGGUGCGAAAGCAGGUCAUAGUGAUCCGGUGGUUCUGAAUGGAAGGGCCAUCGCUCAACGGAUAAAAGGUACUCCGGGGAUAACAGGCUGAUACCGCCCAAGAGUUCAUAUCGACGGCGGUGUUUGGCACCUCGAUGUCGGCUCAUCACAUCCUGGGGCUGAAGUAGGUCCCAAGGGUAUGGCUGUUCGCCAUUUAAAGUGGUACGCGAGCUGGGUUUAGAACGUCGUGAGACAGUUCGGUCCCUAUCUGCCGUGGGCGCUGGAGAACUGAGGGGGGCUGCUCCUAGUACGAGAGGACCGGAGUGGACGCAUCACUGGUGUUCGGGUUGUCAUGCCAAUGGCACUGCCCGGUAGCUAAAUGCGGAAGAGAUAAGUGCUGAAAGCAUCUAAGCACGAAACUUGCCCCGAGAUGAGUUCUCCCUGACCCUUUAAGGGUCCUGAAGGAACGUUGAAGACGACGACGUUGAUAGGCCGGGUGUGUAAGCGCAGCGAUGCGUUGAGCUAACCGGUACUAAUGAACCGUGAGGCUUAACCU
This 1889-nucleotide ribosomal RNA is filed under the name Escherichia coli 97.0007. RNAcentral describes it as "bacterial LSU rRNA". It matches the Rfam family "Bacterial large subunit ribosomal RNA", at positions 1053 to 2925 of the family's 2925-position model. Lineage: Bacteria; Pseudomonadati; Pseudomonadota; Gammaproteobacteria; Enterobacterales; Enterobacteriaceae. The record is from RNAcentral.